UACGGGAGGCAGCAGUGGGGAAUAUUGCACAAUGGGCGCAAGCCUGAUGCAGCCAUGCCGCGUGUAUGAAGAAGGCCUUCGGGUUGUAAAGUACUUUCAGUCGUGAGGAAGGUGUUAAGGUUAAUAACCUUAGCAAUUGACGUUAGCGACAGAAGAAGCACCGGCUAACUCCGUGCCAGCAGCCGCGGUAAUACGGAGGGUGCGAGCGUUAAUCGGAAUUACUGGGCGUAAAGGGCACGCAGGCGGUUAAUUAAGUUGGAUGUGAAAUCCCCGGGCUUAACCUGGGAAUGGCAUUCAAGACUGGUUAGCUAGAGUCUUGUAGAGGGGGUAAAAUUCCAUGUGUAGCGGUGAAAUGCGUAGAGAUGUGGAGGAAUACCGGUGGCGAAGGCGGCCCCUGGACAAAGACUGACGCUCAUGUGCGAAAGCGUGGGGAGCAAACAGGGAUUAGAUACC
Molecule: ribosomal RNA, 453 nt
Filed under: uncultured bacterium
Lineage: Bacteria
Description: bacterial SSU rRNA
Rfam family: Bacterial small subunit ribosomal RNA
Source: RNAcentral